This 84-nucleotide microRNA precursor is filed under the name Bombyx mori (domestic silkworm). RNAcentral describes it as "mir-2807 microRNA precursor family". It matches the Rfam family "mir-2807 microRNA precursor family". The record is from Rfam by way of RNAcentral. Lineage: Eukaryota; Metazoa; Arthropoda; Insecta; Lepidoptera; Bombycidae.
UUAACUCAGCUUUGUAUGGAGUCGGAAAGUUUUCUUACGUUUGCCGUUAGAGGCGCUGUUCCAACUGCAUACAAAUUUGAGAUA